GUGCUUGCCUUAGUAGCUCAUACACUAAAAUUAAGAUGAUACAGAGAAGAUUAGCAUGGCUUCUGUGCAAGGAUGACACACAAAUUCAUGAAGUAAUUAAUGGCUCA
This is a small nuclear RNA of Protopterus annectens (West African lungfish), 107 nucleotides long. The record is from RefSeq and is a predicted model, not a curated record. NCBI's taxonomy places the organism in Eukaryota, Metazoa, Chordata, Ceratodontiformes, Protopteridae.